RNAcentral lists this ribosomal RNA (357 nucleotides) under Triticum aestivum (bread wheat). RNAcentral describes it as "partial small subunit ribosomal RNA". The record is from RNAcentral. Lineage: Eukaryota; Viridiplantae; Streptophyta; Magnoliopsida; Poales; Poaceae.
AUGAUGACAGUAUAUCUUUGGCGGCACUACAACGUCUUCUCCAUGGGAUGCCAAUUGUCCUGUUCGCGUAAUUUUUUAAGUCAUGCUCGACAAAAUUUAGGUGCCCUGAUUUCAGAAAAACAGGCUGAGGCGUACCUGAACAUGGUGUUCGAGUGGCUGUUGUACUACUUGCUUUUGAAGUCUUCAUUUGCAAGAGCAGUGAUCGAUUGGAACAAACGUCCUCUACCCCCGGCACUGCCGCCGCCGCCGCCACCUUAUCCUGUGCCUGCUGGUCCAUCGCCAAGGCAACUCGAGUUCUCCAACGACUUCACAUUUGACCAAUUGAUUGAUACGACUGGAUACUUGGGUGACUGUUAG